Molecule: ribosomal RNA, 208 nt
Filed under: uncultured bacterium
Lineage: Bacteria
Description: partial 16S ribosomal RNA
Rfam family: Bacterial small subunit ribosomal RNA
Source: RNAcentral
UGCGUAGGCGGCUUUUUAAGUCGGAUGUGAAAUCCCUGAGCUUAACUUAGGAAUUGCAUUCGAUACUGGGAAGCUAGAGUAUGGGAGAGGAUGGUAGAAUUCCAGGUGUAGCGGUGAAAUGCGUAGAGAUCUGGAGGAAUACCGAUGGCGAAGGCAGCCAUCUGGCCUAAUACUGACGCUGAGGUACGAAAGCAGUGGGGAGCAAACA